This 1026-nucleotide ribosomal RNA is filed under the name Triticum aestivum (bread wheat). RNAcentral's name for it is "partial small subunit ribosomal RNA". The record is from RNAcentral. Lineage: Eukaryota; Viridiplantae; Streptophyta; Magnoliopsida; Poales; Poaceae.
AUGUCCUCAAUCAAACAGCAAAGAACUGACUGGCUUGAGCACAAUGAGGGCCACUCCAAUAGCGCAGCGGACAGCAGGUCUUGGGCAAAACUAUGGGGUGCUCCGGUCCCCUCUAAGGUUCGUGUUUUUGCCUGGCGGCUGGCUAGAACCUCAAUCCCUAUAGGAGACGUCCGAAAGCACAGGAAAAUGAUAGAUUCUGUGGAAUGCUCAAUCUGCCACGCAGCGGUGGACUCUUGGCGCCACUCUCUCUUCGAUUGCCACAUGGCACGCUGCGUGUGGGCUCUCGCAGACGAAGAACUGACGGAGACCGUUAUCUCCAACCGGACGGAAGAUGCCAAGCUUUGGAUGUUUUGGCUGGUGGAUACUUUACCUACAGCAGAGUUAGCGGGCGUGCUCGUCACAAUGUGGGCAGUCUGGUGGGCGAGAAGAUGGGCCAUCCACGAUAAUCAGUUCCAGAGUCCUCUCAGCACUCAUGUUUUCAUCAAUAAAUUCAUCCCAGAACUUGAUCAAAUUCCUGAGAAGGCCGCGCGAACGAGUGACCUGCAUGGGUGGCUUCCACCUGAAGCGCAUGCAUACAAAAUGAACACAGAUGCUGGUUUCUCUAAGAUUGGAGACAGCAGGGCUGCUGCUGUGAUUUGCCGCGACGCUAAUGGCAAUUAUCUUGGGGCAUCGGCGAUCAUCUCAGUUGGCUUAAUGGAUCCAACCAUCCUGGAGGCUUGGGCGUGUAGUGAGGCGCUUUCCCUCGCAAGUGACCUCCACAUCCAGUCCAUUUGCGUGGCAUCGGAUUGCCUGGAAAUCGUAAACCGGAUAGAGAAUGUUUCUCCUUGCAAUUAUUUUUCCAUCUUGCAAGACAUUCAGCACCAGAAAAUGCUUUUCAAUGAUGUAAAAUUUAUCCAUGAGAGUAGGAAGAAUAAUAGGGAGGCUCAUGCUUUGGCAAAGGCAGCAGCCUCUCUACCCCCCGGGCGCCACGUAUGGCUUAUUAGCAGACCCGAUAUCAUCUGUAUCCCUAUGUGUGUGAACUUUUAA